GAGCAUAUCAAUAAGCGGAGGAAAAGAAACCAACAGGGAUUGCCUCAGUAACGGCGAGUGAAGCGGCAACAGCUCAAAUUUGAAAUCUGGCCCUAGGCCCGAGUUGUAAUUUGCAGAGGAUGCUUUUGGUGCGGUGCCUUCCAAGUUCCCUAGAACGGGACGCCAGAGAGGGUGAGAGCCCCGUACAGUUGGACACCAAGCCUUUGUAAAGCUCCUUCGACGAGUCGAGUAGUUUGGGAAUGCUGCUCAAAAUGGGAGGUAUAUUUCUUCUAAAGCUAAAUACCGGCCAGAGACCGAUAGCGCACAAGUAGAGUGAUCGAAAGAUGAAAAGCACUUUGAAAAGAGGGUUAAACAGCACGUGAAAUUGUUAAAAGGGAAGCGCUUGUGACCAGACUUGCGUCCGGUGAAUCACCCAGCUCUCGCGGCUGGGGCACUUCGCCGGCUCAGGCCAGCAUCAGCUCGCUGUCGGGGACAAAAGCUUCGGGAACGUAGCUCUCUUCGGGGAGUGUUAUAGCCUGUUGCACAAUACCCUUCGGCGGGCUGAGGUACGCGCUCCGCAAGGAUGCUGGCAUAAUGGUCAUCAGCGACCCGUCUUGAAACACGGACCAAGGAGUCAACCUUAUGUGCGAGUGUUCGGGUGUCAAACCCCUACGCGUAAUGAAAGUGAACGCAGGUGAGAGCUUCGGCGCAUCAUCGACCGAUCCUGAUGUUCUCGGAUGGAUUUGAGUAAGAGCAUAUAGGGUUGGACCCGAAAGAAGGUGAACUAUGCGUGUAUAGGGUGAAGCCAGAGGAAACUCUGGUGGAGGCUCGCAGCGGUUCUGACGUGCAAAUCGAUCGUCAAAUAUGCGCAUGGGGGCGAAAGACUAAUCGAACCUUCUAGUAGCUGGUUUCCGCCAA
RNAcentral lists this ribosomal RNA (897 nucleotides) under Colletotrichum gloeosporioides. RNAcentral describes it as "LSU rRNA". It matches the Rfam family "Eukaryotic large subunit ribosomal RNA", at positions 36 to 964 of the family's 3401-position model. Lineage: Eukaryota; Fungi; Ascomycota; Sordariomycetes; Glomerellales; Glomerellaceae. The record is from RNAcentral.